This is a non-coding RNA of Podarcis lilfordi (Lilford's wall lizard), 77 nucleotides long. Lineage: Eukaryota; Metazoa; Chordata; Lepidosauria; Squamata; Lacertidae. The record is from the annotation of a GenBank genome assembly.
GUCUCCUAUCUAGCUCAGUUGGUUAGAGUGUGGGGCUAAUAAUGCCAAGGUUGCAGGUUCGAUCCCCGUAAGGGACA